AAUUCCAGCUAUUCGGGAGGCUGAGGCAGGAGAAUUGCUUGAACCCGCAUGCGGAGGUUGCUUUGAGCCGAGUUUGCACCACUGCACUCCAGCCUGGGCGACAGAAUGAGACCCCGUCUCAAAAAAAAAAAAAAAAGAAAGAAAGAAAUUAUAUUUCCUGGCUAAGCGCGGUGGCUCACGCCUGUAAUCCCAACACUUUGCAAGAAAAAAGAAAAUUCUUUUUCCUGACCCAUCCAUCUAGCAUCCCACCUGACUAUUCAGUUUAGUUCAUCUGAAAUUUAUUGAGCUCCACAGUUUGGUACUCUACAACUCUUGGAUAUUCAAAUAUUUACAAGUUACUGAAUUUGUCCUCAAGAAACUCAGCUUAUCCGACUUUGUGGUUCUAUGGAGAAGAAAAAAAAAAACUGGGAAAGAUAGCCCUGUAAGCAAAUAAACAUAAUGCAGUUCCUGAGUGCUAUGAUAGAGAUAUACACAGGGUGUUGCAGAACCAUACCCAGAAGGCUUGCAAAAGGCUUUCCAAAAGGAAGUCACGCCUACGUUGUGUUCAAAGGGUCUCGCUCUGUUGCUUAGGCUGGAGUGCAGUGGUGAGAUCACGGCUUACUGCAGCCUUGACCUUCUGGGCUCAGACUAGGCACCAAAAUCACAUAGACUUGAUUCAUCCAAUGAACAAUAAAUAUGAUGCACCUACCACACCCCAGGUGCUGUUACAGAUGCUGGAGAUAUAGCCACAAAUAAGACAAGAUUCUUGCACACCAUGGAGUCUGUACACUAGUGUGUGAUGACUAGUUUUAUAUGUCAGCUGGGAUGGUGUUUUUGGAUGAAAUUAACAUUUAAAUCACUUAACUCUGAGUAAGCAGAUUGCCCUCCAUUAUGUGUGUGAGCCUCAUCCAGUCAGCUAAAGGCCUGAAUAGAAAGAAAAGAACAGCUUCCCCGAGUAAGAGUGAUUUCCCAACAGACUGCCUUUGGACUGGAACUGCACCAUCAUGCCAAAAAGCAGAAGGUAACACAAGCAGGAGAAAAAAAAAUCAAUCAACAGAAACAGACCCAGAAAUGACAGAGUUGAUGGAAUCCACAGAUACAACUUUAAAUAUGUCAACAAGGAAAAAUGGUUAUGCUAGACUGGUGCAAUUAUGAUUUUUUUCUUAUUUUUCUAAAUAUAUGAAAAUUAAACAAAAAGAACAUUAAUCCCUUAUAUGAAUAUUUAUUUUUUGAUGAUGAACAUUAUUCCCAAGAACAGAUAAAUGAAGGAAAUGAUAAACACCACAUUUAAGACAUUGAUUACCUCUUGGGGGAGGGAGACAGGGAGAAGGGUGCAACUGGGAUAGCUAUGUAGAACUAGACAGUGUGGUAGUACUACAUUUCUUAAGCUAAGAGGUGUGGAUGUGCCAUUGUAUUAUUCUUUAUACAGGUACUUUGUUUAUCUUAAAUAUUGCAAAAUACAAUUCAAAAAUAAACAAGGGCUGGGUGCAGUGGCUCACGCUUGUAAUCCCAACACUUUGAGAGGCCAAGGCGAGUGGAUCACCUGAGGUCAGGAGUUUGAGACUAGCCUGGCCAACACGGUAAAACCCUGUCUCUACUAAAAAUACAAAAAGUAUCUGGGCAUGGUGGUGGGUGCCUGAUAUCCCAGCUACUCAGGAGGCUGAAGCAGGAGAAUCGCUUGAACCCAGGAGGCAAGGUUGAAGUGAGCCGAGAUUGUGCCAUUGCACUCCAGCCUGGGAGAUAAGAGCGAAACUCCGUCUCAAAAAAAUAAAAAGUAAAAAUAAAAAUAAACAGUUACAGAAACAAUACCACAUAUUUAUAUUCAGAAUAGGAGUAGUAGUGUUAUUUCCAAAACUUUUUAUGAUCUCCCCCAUGAUCUUUCAAGAUAUGUUACUGAAAUGAGAUCAAAAGCGUGAAAGAGAUCCUCAGUGCAUGUGUGAUUUCCCUUUAGAUGUUAUCUUCUGAGGAUGUAUCCAGUUUUCUCAACAAGGCAGACUUGCUAUGUCCCUCUGAAAAUUUCUUUCCCUUUACUGUAUAACUUGCUUUUUGUUAAUUCCACGUUUAGUUAUAGUUAUUGUUCUCUGCCUCUUCAGUGUUUAUCUUUCAUCUCAAUAUUAAACACUGAUAUUGGGUAACUGAGUAAUGUUCAAUUAUUCCUUUCCUUGUGUUAUUUUUAUCCUAAGUGACUGCAAUUAUCUUCAUACAUGGAACAUGAAAAAUUUUAUUG
RNAcentral lists this long non-coding RNA (2206 nucleotides) under Homo sapiens (human). RNAcentral describes it as "HSALNT0134964". The record is from RNAcentral. Lineage: Eukaryota; Metazoa; Chordata; Mammalia; Primates; Hominidae.